RNAcentral lists this ribosomal RNA (357 nucleotides) under Triticum aestivum (bread wheat). Its description in RNAcentral is "partial small subunit ribosomal RNA". Lineage: Eukaryota; Viridiplantae; Streptophyta; Magnoliopsida; Poales; Poaceae. The record is from RNAcentral.
AUGCACUAUGAGGAUCGCGUCCGGUUAGUGGUCAAGUAUCACGCGGACUAUCUCAACCAUAGGAUUUCCAAACAGGAGGCUCGAGGGACGCAUCUUUCACGGGACAAUUACUUCAAGUCGUGCUGGGAGAAGAUCGUCGAACGGUGGACAGAUCCAGGGUGGCAGGAUGAACACAAAGUAAUAUCUGAACGGCAUAAGUUGAUGGGGGGUCGAGGACACCGUCAAGGCAACCUCACCAUCCCAGAAAGAAGGCACUGGCAAGGAUAUCACUUACUUCGAGGCAUGGACCAUCAAACGUACCAAAUACGACAAGGAAAAGGACCCUCUCCACCCGGAGAGGGACUGGAUCAACUCUAA